Molecule: ribosomal RNA, 404 nt
Filed under: uncultured Clostridium sp.
Lineage: Bacteria; Bacillati; Bacillota; Clostridia; Eubacteriales; Clostridiaceae
Description: bacterial SSU rRNA
Rfam family: Bacterial small subunit ribosomal RNA
Source: RNAcentral
UGGGGAAUAUUGCACAAUGGGGGAAACCCUGAUGCAGCAACGCCGCGUGAGUGAUGACGGCCUUCGGGUUGUAAAGCUCUGUCUUCAGGGACGAUAAUGACGGUACCUGAGGAGGAAGCCACGGCUAACUACGUGCCAGCAGCCGCGGUAAUACGUAGGUGGCGAGCGUUGUCCGGAUUUACUGGGCGUAAAGGGAGCGUAGGCGGACUUUUAAGUGAGAUGUGAAAUACUCGGGCUCAACUUGAGUGCUGCAUUUCAAACUGGAAGUCUAGAGUGCAGGAGAGGAGAAUGGAAUUCCUAGUGUAGCGGUGAAAUGCGUAGAGAUUAGGAAGAAUACCAGUGGCGAAGGCGAUUCUCUGGACUGUAACUGACGCUGAGGCUCGAAAGCGUGGGGAGCAAACAGG